GCAAGGGGAGUGGCAGACGGGUGAGUAACGCGUGGGAACAUACCCUUUCCUGCGGAAUAGCUCCGGGAAACUGGAAUUAAUACCGCAUACGCCCUACGGGGGAAAGAUUUAUCGGGGAAGGAUUGGCCCGCGUUGGAUUAGCUAGUUGGUGGGGUAAAGGCCUACCAAGGCGACGAUCCAUAGCUGGUCUGAGAGGAUGAUCAGCCACAUUGGGACUGAGACACGGCCCAAACUCCUACG
This 240-nucleotide ribosomal RNA is filed under the name Agrobacterium pusense. RNAcentral describes it as "Rhizobium pusense partial 16S ribosomal RNA". It matches the Rfam family "Bacterial small subunit ribosomal RNA", at positions 86 to 343 of the family's 1533-position model. Lineage: Bacteria; Pseudomonadati; Pseudomonadota; Alphaproteobacteria; Hyphomicrobiales; Rhizobiaceae. The record is from RNAcentral.